Molecule: transfer RNA, 99 nt
Rfam family: tRNA
About the family: Transfer RNA (tRNA) molecules are approximately 80 nucleotides in length. Their secondary structure includes four short double-helical elements and three loops (D, anti-codon, and T loops).
Source: Rfam
UCCGGCAUGGUGUAGUGGCUAGCAUUUCCGCCUCUCAUUCGAAGCUUUCAAGUUUCAAUCAAGUCGCGGGAGACCGGGGUUCAAUUCCCCGUACCGGAA